UGCCAGCAGCCGCGGUAAUACGGAGGGAGCUAGCGUUGUUCGGAAUUACUGGGCGUAAAGCGCGCGUAGGCGGUUUUUUAAGUCAGGGGUGAAAUCCCGGAGCUCAACUCCGGAACUGCCCUUGAAACUAAAAGACUAGAAUCCUGGAGAGGCGAGUGGAAUUCCGAGUGUAGAGGUGAAAUUCGUAGAUAUUCGGAAGAGCACCAGUGGCGAAGGCGACUCGCUGGACAGGUAUUGACGCUGAGGUGCGAAAGCGUGGGGAGCAAACAGGAUUAGAUA
RNAcentral lists this ribosomal RNA (279 nucleotides) under uncultured bacterium. RNAcentral's name for it is "partial 16S ribosomal RNA". It matches the Rfam family "Bacterial small subunit ribosomal RNA", at positions 506 to 784 of the family's 1533-position model. The record is from RNAcentral.